Molecule: long non-coding RNA, 191 nt
Organism: Lemur catta (Ring-tailed lemur)
Lineage: Eukaryota; Metazoa; Chordata; Mammalia; Primates; Lemuridae
Exons: 3
Source: RefSeq, a predicted model, not a curated record
GUUCGGAGAAGUUCCGCACGUCGGGAGCUUUGCUGAUGACAGGCAGUCUGGGCUUGCAGUGCCACUAAGUGCAGGUGAGGAGGGGACAAAGGAUGUGACAGCCAGAACGAUGUGGCGGUGGCCCAAGAGUAGACAAGCUGACUUUCCCAUCAUGCUGCCUGCAACGAGGAGGAAGGAGAAAUCCAAGGAGC